CCUAAAAUUGAAAAUUAACCAAAAUUAUAAUGCUGAAAAGAAUGGAAGAGGCUGCAGAAGUACAGCUGGUAGUGGGGCUUUGCUGAAUUAUUCAAAUUACGUUAGGGAGAAAGCUACCAUACAUCGAAACCAACACUAAUUUUUCUUUAAAAAAAUUUCACCAGAUACAUGCCAAACCACUGUGAGUGCAUAACAUUCUGAAACUCGGCAAAUGCAUGUUGACAUAUUCGAGGUGUUGUCAUGAUGCAUUUGUAUCGAUCUGUUUAUCUCUUAACAGGAGUUUAAUUAAGCAAGAAAUUCUGCCAAGUAGUUCCCCCAGACUGCCCUUGGAACUGGGCUUUCUCUGGAUCCUCUGAAACUCAAGGGUUAAUAUGUUCACUCUUUAGAAUGUAUUGACCCUAUGGUAAGCGGAUUCCCGAGGGAGGGAUUGGUAGGAGGGGCGUGGGCGAAAGGCAUCGCCCAGUGGUGGUGCCUACUACGCCUCCCCACGUUCGAACUUCUCCAGAGGUUGCAGAGUUCGAGUUGUGGAGCCUAGUUCUGACCGUAUUUCCUAUUUAAAAAGAGAGAAAGUGGGGGAGAGAGAGAACAAUAGCUGGGGGUGGGGUAGAGGAGGAAGGGAAUGAAGGGAACGAUUUCUCUUUGGCACCAAUAAACAUCUCAUUAUCUUUUGACACAACUUAGUCAAAAGGUUUCUGCCGCCGGAGAAAGGCCUUUUUGCACUGGGAUGGAAAGCCAAAGAUUUCUCAGGCACUUAACAUCUCUAGUUGCUUACAACGUCUACAGGGUCAGGAAACAGCGUCAUCUAUAGAUAGAACAGCACGGCUUCUUGCUGGAGUCUUCCUUGGUGCGUUCCUAAAUUUGGGUUUUUGAUCUCCCCAGCUUGGUUCUGCGUCUCAGCCAAUCAUGCCCCUCCAACCCCAAGGUCGCAGCGUUUGUGCUCGGCGGGCAGUAACUCCAAGACCCGCAUAGCCUCCUCCCACCCCCACCGCCCCGACACACCAGCUUGAGGCAAAGACCCUGAAAAGCAGCCUCGAAGCGGUUCAGAGGCCAGUUAUUUCGGAAACCUUCCCCCAAGGGGAGGAAAGAUUUCGAAGGGGCUACACCGUCCAGAGAUUCAUCAGACUACACCUGCCUUUGCAAAUGUCCGCAUACCUGUGGUUCUAAAGGAGCCCCAUCGCGAGCUCCGUUUGAUAAUCUUGUCGCCUCAAAAUCUAAAAUCACGGCCACAUGUAAAGCCCUCUUGGGAUUCACCUAGGAUUAGCUGUGAAUAAUAAUUCUUAAAUAGAUUUUAGCUUGGAAUCUCCAGCCGAGUCUUUCCACACCUUAUAGAAACAUGGUACUUUUCGCAGGCUCCAGUCACAAGCUGCACCAAAUACAUCAACAACAUAGAAAACAAGAAAGACAAAUCGAAUACUUAAGGAUCCCAUUCUCAUUCGCAUCCUUUCACUGAACAGAACAACAGCCCUUUUUACUGUUAAAGGGGAUAAAAGGUCAGCACAGAGAAAUCUAUAAAGCAAAGUUGUAGCCCAUGAUAAAUUACAACGGCAACAUGUAUCUUGGAAACGGUGAGAAGAGAAAUAAGAACUGUUCCUUGAAGUAUGCAAGAAAUAAAAACUUACCAUUAGUGAAUAUCUCUUAAGCAAUGAUCAGGGUCUAGAAAUCUAUACUGAACCGAAGCACAGGAGAAUAUUUUUCUGAGUCUCAGGGCAGAAGCUCUUUCUCUAUAUUCUUGGUUGAGUGAGCACAUCCAGGUGUGAAAUUGUUUGCACACCCCAGCACCUCUUAUAUUGCCAGCAAAAUUAGCUGUUAUUACUGUCACUGUUUAGUGAUGGUUAGCGUGGUACAAAAAAAAAAAAAAAAAA
Macaca fascicularis (crab-eating macaque) is the source of this 1862-nucleotide long non-coding RNA. The record is from Ensembl. NCBI's taxonomy places the organism in Eukaryota, Metazoa, Chordata, Mammalia, Primates, Cercopithecidae.